UGUUUAUGCAGAGAACGCGCGUUUAAAUGACAGAUCUUCAAGGCAGAUUGGUCAAGGUUAUAAAAUGGGGUGUAACAGAGUUUCAAAGAUUUAUCUGUUCGUAAUUUUGUCAUCUCAGCAACAACUUUGGCAUCGACUGCUAUUUUAUUCUCACACAGGAACACCAAACAAAUUUCUAGCAUGAGAAUCAAAGAUUCUAAAAGACCCAUCUGCAACUUUCAAUAUUGCCACAGUAUUGCAACCAAUAGUAAGCAGGGCAAAACUGUAUGUUAGCUCAGAAAAUAGGAAUAUGUUAUUUAAUGCACUUAGAAGUGUGAAAUAUGGUCGACUAUUGCAUGCCAUGAAUACAUCACCAGCAUAUGACUCACUGUAUUGUAAAUUAUAGAUUAUGUCAUUAACAGAAACCAUUUCAGGCACAUCAGUCAAUAGCAACAAGUCUUUAUUCACUGAAUUGGAUAUACAUGUAUAAAGGUCAUUGCCAUUAAUUAAAAUUGUGUUUAAUAAUUCUGUAUCCCAGGUUGUAACAUCUUGUAUUUGGCUGAAGAUUAUUGCAGUCAAGGACAUAGCAACACAUUGCUUUCCUGCAUUUUGUCCAAAUCUGACUUCACAACCUUGGCUAAAAUCAGCACACACAGUUUUUGUUGCAUCAACAAUGUCAUAUACUGUAGGUCCUGGGUUUGUUUCCACAUCAUUUGACAAUCUUAGUAAACCAGGCACAUACACUUGGUGAUAACAGACCAUUUUGAUAAACCAAAUUACUGGUUCAUUUGAUCUACUGUAUUGUUCAUUUAUUUGCUUUAAUGUUGGGAAGUAAAAUACAUUUAAAUAAAACAUCAUCAACAUUGUGUUCCAGAAAGUACCUGUCAGACGUCUGGACACUUCUCUUUGUCUCACAAAGUUUGCAUGAGAACCAACUCUUGCUCGAUAUUGUUCAAUUGACACUCCCAUGUCUAGUAUGAUGUCACGUGACUGUCAGUAGUUUUGUGCAGACUGUCUUUUGUUUGAUUUGUUAUCCAGUUUCAGAUGAAUAUUUUUGUAUACUUUUUGGCAAUUUUGUAGCAAGUUUUUAGCAAGUUUUUAGCAAGUUUUUAGCAAGUUUUUAGCAAUUUUUUUGCGGACACAAGGUCCCAGUUUAUGGCUUUUUCGAUUGCGAUACAACACGCAAUUGCCUGACAAACGAGUCAGUGCAGACACAAGGCCCCGUUUAGUUUAUAGAUUUUUCGAUUGCGAUACAACACGCAAUUGCCUGACAAACGAGUCAGUGCAGACACAAGGCCCCAGUGAGUUUGUUGCUGCGAUGACUCGACGAGAAUCGCACUAAAAGACAAAACAAAAAGCGUGCUUAACAAACUGCAUGUCACCUCGUCGACUUUGAGACAAGCCUCGGCCCUCAAGGUCAACACAUUUAUAGAUAAAUACAGCUAAGCCUAAGGUGAAACUGGUUAGCGUACCUUGAAUGAGAUGAAGUAGGGCGACGUUUACCAGCAAAAAACGGCCAAAUCAAAUCGAAUUUUGCGAACUUGUCUUUGGCAGUUUGCUCAGAACUUGUCGACAAAAUUAGCAGAUCAGAUCGUACCGGAAAUUGCGGUCAUCACGUGAGCAUAUGACGUUUUUAGGGCGCCUGCGGUUCCCCCAUCCGUUUCGCGCAUGCUCAGAUAUUUUGCAUUUAUAAUUUGCCAUAAACCCCGUCUAGCCUCUGCGUGAUGACUAAGCGUUCCGCAGUCCUUAUGGACAGCGGACGCAAAAA
Molecule: long non-coding RNA, 1747 nt
Organism: Dendronephthya gigantea
Lineage: Eukaryota; Metazoa; Cnidaria; Anthozoa; Malacalcyonacea; Nephtheidae
Exons: 2
Source: RefSeq, a predicted model, not a curated record